Molecule: ribosomal RNA, 301 nt
Filed under: uncultured bacterium
Lineage: Bacteria
Description: partial 16S ribosomal RNA
Rfam family: Bacterial small subunit ribosomal RNA
Source: RNAcentral
CAGCAGCCGCGGUAAUACGUAGGUCCCGAGCGUUGUCCGGAUUUAUUGGGCGUAAAGCGAGCGCAGGCGGUUAGAUAAGUCUGAAGUUAAAGGCUGUGGCUUAACCAUAGUACGCUUUGGAAACUGUUUAACUUGAGUGCAAGAGGGGAGAGUGGAAUUCCAUGUGUAGCGGUGAAAUGCGUAGAUAUAUGGAGGAACACCGGUGGCGAAAGCGGCUCUCUGGCUUGUAACUGUCGCUGAGGCUCGAAAGCGUGGGGAGCAAACAGGAUUAGAUACCCGUGUAGUCCCUGUCUCUUAUACA